AUGGAAUUUUUCGCAGACUGGUCCUCUCUUCCGGCCGACCUCAUCAACCGCAUCGCCGACCGCUUCCUAGGCACAAGUGACGUCGACUACUACAUGGACCUCCGUGCCGUCUGCCAUAGCUGGCGCUCCGCCACCCAAGACCCCAAGAAUUCCCCGGACCCUCGCUUCCACCCCCGUCACUGGGUCAACAUCAACGGAGCCUCUUGCCGCUCCAGCACGCGCCUCUUGGUGAACACCGCCACUGGCCGAACCCUGCGCCAGGAACUCGGCUACUUGAUCCGUUUUAUGGCGCACCGACCCUGCGAGAUCGUGGAAUAUGCUGCCCUCGAGUCCGGUUCUUCACCCACCAUUUUCUUUUUCUGCAAGGACUACAUGGAUGAUAACUGGGUUAUACAUGAAUCGUCUCGUAAGGUCUACAUGGCUGAGCCUGACAGUGAGUCUCUCGUCAUCUAUGAGGACAUGUGUGCUUUCCCUUUGAUCAGGCUGGCUACCAGCGGUAUCUACACUAUUCGCGGUGCUGACCUGGGAUCCGUGGCCAGAAGGAUCUUUGAUCUAAUGAGGUUUUACAAGGCCGAUCUUGCUGAGAUAUCUGACAAUGAAUAUACCAUGAUGUUGGACGAAAAAUCUUUAUGGAAGCUUUGUGUAGGACGUUGUUUCCUAACGGAAUCUGCUGGAAAAGUGUUGAUCAUCAUGAAGCUAGCACAAGGCGUCGUGGUCUACAGAUUACACACUCACAACUAUAAACUCGAGCAUGUGGAGGACAUUGGCAACUGUGCCAUCUUCUUAGAUCUGUAUUGUUGGUGCUUGUGUGUUAAUGCUGAUAAAUUUCCGUCCGUCCAUGCCAACUGCGUCUAUUACCAGAAAAGCCAACUAGCUGUUGCUAAUUACUUGUGCAUGUAUAAUCUCAAGUCCGAGAGAGAAGAAAGAGUUGAUGAAAAUUUUGAGCAUCUUCUUUUGGACCAAACGCUGUCUCGGCUUUAA
RNAcentral lists this ribosomal RNA (981 nucleotides) under Triticum aestivum (bread wheat). RNAcentral describes it as "partial small subunit ribosomal RNA". The record is from RNAcentral. Lineage: Eukaryota; Viridiplantae; Streptophyta; Magnoliopsida; Poales; Poaceae.